Molecule: ribosomal RNA, 454 nt
Filed under: uncultured Flavisolibacter sp.
Lineage: Bacteria; Pseudomonadati; Bacteroidota; Chitinophagia; Chitinophagales; Chitinophagaceae
Description: bacterial SSU rRNA
Rfam family: Bacterial small subunit ribosomal RNA
Source: RNAcentral
ACGGGAGGCAGCAGUAAGGAAUAUUGGUCAAUGGACGCAAGUCUGAACCAGCCAUGCCGCGUGAAGGAUGAAGGUCCUCUGGAUUGUAAACUUCUUUUAUAUGGGACGAAACCCGGGUAUUCCUACCCGAUUGACGGUACCAUAGGAAUAAGCACCGGCUAACUCCGUGCCAGCAGCCGCGGUAAUACGGAGGGUGCAAGCGUUAUCCGGAUUCACUGGGUUUAAAGGGUGCGUAGGAGGGCAGGUAAGUCAGUGGUGAAAUCUUCGAGCUUAACUCGGAAACUGCCGUUGAUACUAUCUGUCUUGAAUACCGUGGAGGUGAGCGGAAUAUGUCAUGUAGCGGUGAAAUGCUUAGAUAUGACAUAGAACACCGAUUGCGAAGGCAGCUCACUACACGAAUAUUGACUCUGAGGCACGAAAGCGUGGGGAUCAAACAGGAUUAGAUACCCUGGUA